Long non-coding RNA from Peromyscus eremicus (cactus mouse), 1126 nucleotides. RefSeq lists it as uncharacterized. NCBI's taxonomy places the organism in Eukaryota, Metazoa, Chordata, Mammalia, Rodentia, Cricetidae. The transcript is spliced from 6 exons. The record is from RefSeq and is a predicted model, not a curated record.
AUUAGAACUUCAGACUCCAUCCUUACAGGGCAAGAGACAUUUCUGUAGCCCCAUAACCAAAUUUAUAUUUUCUGUACUUGACCAGAAACAUAACCACAUGUUCACCAGGGCCUCAGUAGAGUGUCUGACAGGGACUAAGACAAAAAUGUAAAGAAUAGGGGCCAGUAAAGAUAGCUCAGUAGCUAAAAAGUACUCCUGUUCAUGAAGAGGACCAGGGUUCAGUACCCAGCACUCAAGUGGUGAGUCACAAUCAUCUGUAAUUCCAGAUCUAGGAGAUCUGAUGCCCUCUUUGGCUUCUUCAGGAGAAUGAAGGCUAAGGAAUCUAAAGAAAACUGGACAAAUGAGACAUCUGGAAGAAAAAGCACAAAUCAUCCAGAAAAAAAUGUCUCAAGAAAAAGAGUAAACUGGCCUAUUGAGCUGAGGACCAAACCCGGGGCCUUGUGCUUGCUAGGAAAAAAAGGAAACUGUGAGCCAUACGGGGCAUAGUUUGAGCAUAGAAGAUGUCAAAGCAUACCUCCGCUGUGAUACACUCCUCCAACAAGCCACACCUACUCCAACUGAAACAUGGGUGUAACAUUUGGAAGUCCCACCAAGAUGUCUCAUUGAGGAACAGGAUUGAAAUACCUGAUAAGCAGAUUUGCAGAUUCCUCUGGAGAUAGGUAGACUUCUCACUUUCUUGGCCUGGCAGCCAUGACUGCUGUCCUGUUGCUCCUCUACCCAAGGCCCUGGAGACCACAGGAACCUUGGAGGUAAAGGAGUAUGGACUAGUCUCUGUCAUUUUGAUUAAUCUUUCUCAAAUCUCUUAUCACUUUGGCAGCUAGGCUAACUAGUUUUGUCAGCUAGGCUACAGUAGACAAUUAGCUCCUUCCUCUAGGCUACUCAUUAGUUCAUUAACCAGUUCAUUACUUAUUUAAAGAUACUUGGUCUCUUUUUAGGAAAAGGCAGACAGAUUUGUCUUGCUCUCAGGCUCCACAUUAAACAGCAAACAUGUUCCAGGUGUAACCUUUCACAAAAACAAAAAACAAAACAAACAAACAAACAAAAAACAUGCCUUACAAUGAUUGUUCUCAAUAAUAACUACUCAUGUCUCUAGUUAAUGAUUAACAUCCAUGCAAGUGCUGAGGAU